Molecule: ribosomal RNA, 496 nt
Filed under: uncultured bacterium
Lineage: Bacteria
Description: partial 16S ribosomal RNA
Rfam family: Bacterial small subunit ribosomal RNA
Source: RNAcentral
AUGCACGCUGGCGGCGUGCCUCAUCCAUGCCAGUCGCGCGAACAGACGAGGAGCUUGCUCCUCUGACGUUAGCGGCGGACGGGUGAGUAACACGUGGAUAACCUACCUAUAAGACUGGGAUAACUUCGGGAAACCGGAGCUAAUACCGGAUAAUAUAUUGAACCGCAUGGUUCAAUAGUGAAAGACGGUUUUGCUGUCACUUAUAGAUGGAUCCGCGCCGCAUUAGCUAGUUGGUAAGGUAACGGCUUACCAAGGCGACGAUGCGUAGCCGACCUGAGAGGGUGAUCGGCCACACUGGAACUGAGACACGGUCCAGACUCCUACGGGAGGCAGCAGUAGGGAAUCUUCCGCAAUGGGCGAAAGCCUGACGGAGCCACGCCGCGUGAGUGAUGAAGGUCUUCGGAUCGUAAAACUCUGUUAUUAGGGAAGAACAAAUGUAUAAGUAACUAUGCACGUCUUGACGGUACCUAAUCAGAAAGCCACGGCUAACUACGUG